Molecule: ribosomal RNA, 603 nt
Filed under: uncultured bacterium
Lineage: Bacteria
Description: bacterial SSU rRNA
Rfam family: Bacterial small subunit ribosomal RNA
Source: RNAcentral
UGGUAGUNCACGCCGUAAACGAUGAGUGCUAGGUGUUAGGCCCUUUCCGGGGCUUAGUGCCGGAGCUAACGCAAUAAGCACUCCGCCUGGGGAGUACGACCGCAAGGUUGAAACUCAAAGGAAUUGACGGGGGCCCGCACAAGCGGUGGAGCAUGUGGUUUAAUUCGAAGCAACGCGAAGAACCUUACCAGGUCUUGACAUCCCGAUGCUAUUCUUAGAGAUAGGAAGUUACUUCGGUACAUCGGAGACAGGUGGUGCAUGGUUGUCGUCAGCUCGUGUCGUGAGAUGUUGGGUUAAGUCCCGCAACGAGCGCAACCCUUAUUGUUAGUUGCCAUCAUUAAGUUGGGCACUCUAGCGAGACUGCCGGUAAUAAACCGGAGGAAGGUGGGGAUGACGUCAAAUCAUCAUGCCCCUUAUGACCUGGGCUACACACGUGCUACAAUGGUCGGUACAACGAGUUGCGAGCCGGUGACGGCAAGCUAAUCUCUGAAAGCCGAUCUCAGUUCGGACUGGAGGCUGCAACUCGCCUCCAUGAAGUCGGAAUCGCUAGUAAUCGCGGAUCAGCACGCCGCGGUGAAUACGUUCCCGGGCCUUGUACACACC